CCGAUUACCCGAUUAAAUUGACUUAAGAUGGCGGACAUCCGCCAUCUUAAGUAUUCGGGGACUCGGGCGGAAAAAGCCCGCCCAAAUUUCGAUUGGGCGGACUUUUCCACCUUACAUGGCGGCACUUAAGUGUACUUACAUGGCGGAAUUCCGCCAUGUAAGUUUUGGGGUUUAUUAAAAACCCCAAAUCAGAACAGAACGCGUCUGUUCUGAUUGAAGUUUCCAAGCGCCGCCGACUGCAACCUCCGCCGACUGCCAACCUCCUCUGACGACGUGCUCGCUCGCCUCCGGUUCCAAGCUCGCCUCCGAUUGCUGGCUCCUCCGUCGUGGUUUGAUCACGCCGCCUCCGUCCUGGUGAGAUAUUUCAAUAAUAUUUGUUAAUUAAUUAAGUUUGUUUAUUGAUUGGUUUUUAGAAUUGAUUUUAUGUUGAAUGUAGUUUGAUUUUAUUGUGAUUUUUUUAGGGUUCUUCGUUAAGUCGCCGUGUCUUCGUCCUUGAUCUCCUAGAAGUGUGAAGGUAUAGUUUUAUUUGUUGUUUUUGUUUGUAUAAUCUUAUUCUUCAAUUUUGUAAUCUAUGGAUUUUUUUUUUUAUCUAUCUUAUGUCUACUUUAAUAUUUGUUUGUAUAUGUUUGUAUAAUCUUAUUCUUCUAUUAUGAUUUUUCAUGUUAUGUUUCAUCUAUUGAUUGAUUGUAUAUUAUACCUAAAAUAGUUUCAUUCUAAAAUAGAAAUAGUUUCAUGUUAUGAAAUAGUUUCAUGUUAUGAAAUAGUUUCAUGUUAUGUUUCAUUCUAAAAUAGAUUAUGUCUACAUGGAAUAAUAUUGAUUGUUUGUAUAAUCAUGUUAUUAUUAGUGUUUUUAGAUUGUCAUUUCUAGUGUUUAUAGGAAUUAGUUACAUAGAUGAUGAAUGUUUAUAUAGAUGUUUAUGUUAAUGUGGAUGUUUAUAUGGAUUUUUAUAUAGUUUAGUUAUGGAUGAAUUUAGAUAUGGAUGUUUAGAUAUGGUUGAUUUUAUUUGAUUUAGAUAUGGAUGUUUAUAUGACUUGUUUAAUAUUUGAUGUCUUGUUUAAUUUAUGAUGUCUACUGUCAUUUAGAUAUGAAAGAUUUAAUAUUCGAUUUAUAUUUUAUGAUUUUAUUUAAUUUUAUGUCUAAUGUUUAUUAGUUGAUUGGGUUUAUAAGUUUACAUGUUUAUAUUGCUUUAUAGUUAUUUAGUAAUUUUUUAAUGUAUUGUGUUAGUUUUUCCGCCUCCUCCGACAGCCGUGCUCGUGUCCGAUUGCCUUGCUCGCCUCGAUUGUUCGUUUUGGUAACAUUUUAGAAAUCGUUUUUGAUGAAAUCGUUUUUUACGAAUUAGUUAUAUUUUGUGUAUAAAUAAAUGUGUAUUUAAAUGUGUAUAAAUAAAUGAGGCACAUUAGUUAAAUAAAUGUGUAUUUAAUUAGAUAAAUAAUGACUGUUUUUAUUAAAUUAAUUAAAUAAAAUAAUGUUUUUAAAUAAUUAAAUAAUUAAUAUUUAUUUAAAUAAAUAAAUUACUGUUUUUAAAUAAUUUUAAAAUUACU
This 1542-nucleotide long non-coding RNA is filed under the name Zostera marina. RNAcentral describes it as "long non-coding RNA (ZMAR_LNC004364)". Lineage: Eukaryota; Viridiplantae; Streptophyta; Magnoliopsida; Alismatales; Zosteraceae. The record is from RNAcentral.